AAAUACUUAAAAGUAUUAACUUUAGAAAUAUCAUAUCAAAAUUUUGUGUCAACAUAGCACAAAUAUAUAAGUAUUUUAAACCCCAAAAUUCCCCAUUUUAAGUCAUUCCCUCAAAUCCCAAAAUUAAACACCCAAAACUCCUCUAAAAAUUUUCUCUAGAAGUAAAAAAAAGGAGAAAGAAGAGGAGGCUAGGUCAAGCACAAGUCUCCAAUUUUCAACCUUUUAUGGGCAUUACGACUAAGCUAAGGUAUGAUUGUUUUUCGUCCAUGGGAUCCUUCUUCCCAUGGUAUCCCUUGAAAUGCACAAUUUGAUGAUGAAUUUCCCCCAUUCUAGUUAGGAUUUUUUCUAAUGUUGUGGGUUAUGUUGAAUGUUGAUCCAAUUGAGUGGAUUAUGAUUAUUUAUGAUUGAAUUGACACGAUCACAUGUUUUUAUUAUGAAAUUACAUGUAGUCAUGCCUGUUCCAUGAUUUUACCUAGAAUUUAUAUAAUUAGAUUGAUGCCUUGAAAGAAGACUUUAUGGAUUUUGAUUUCUCCUUGUAAGAUUGUUGAAUCAUGACUAGAAUUGUUUAAGUUUGAAGUUUAGAUGAUGAUCAUGAGAAUUAGAGAUUUGAGAGUAAAGUGUACUUUAUGAUUGUUGGUAAUUAUUGUUGUAAUGUGCAAGAGAUACUUCCCUUAAUGAAUUGCAAAGCAUGAUUGAACCAAUAUGAAAGGUUUAUCACAUAAAUGAUUCCAGGUUGAAAGGAUUGCUCACUAAAAUGAAUAUAGAUUAAAGUUCUAAAAGAAUGAUAAGGCUAGAGACAACUACCAUUGACCUCUAUAUUGAAGGAUAUGUGGUGAUUCUAAUACUCCUUAGAAUUGAAAAUUGUAUGUUCCCAAAAUGAUGAAGUCAUAUGGAGGCGAGUGCCUAUGCUCCUUAUGAAAUGAUGUGGAGGCGAGUAUCUGUGUCAUAUGUGACUGUGGAGGUGAGUACCCAUGAUAUUAAGGUAAAUAAGGCAAGAGGAUAAUACCCAUUAGCCUUUAUAAGUUAAAAAAUAAGGCUAAUCCCCAUGUCUUUAAAAGUAAGUAUGAACUAUAUGAUUAUGCUAUGUUAUGAAGAUGCUUGAUGUCACAUCCGAGUAGCACCCCCUAGAAGUGACCAAUGUCGUCGUCCUCGAAGAGGACUAAGACUAACCUCUUAGCAUUUGUCAUUACAUUUUAUAGGUUAAAUUGCAGAAAAUUUAAAACUUUUCAUCUAUUUCUACAUUAAGGUUUACAUAGAUCUGCCGCUUACACAUAAUAUAUAAAUAGGGAGUUUAUAUAGACUCCUCUAAUAGAAAGCACUACAUAAAUUUCUACUUUUAUUUCACAUACAUAAUAUAGCAAUAUAAUUUCAUAAGAACUCUAGGAUAAGUCUCACAUAUAACCAUCUAAGUAGAGCAUAACAUUCGGGCAUAACCCUUAAUUCUUUACAAUAAAAGCAACAUAUAGGCAUAUACAACAAUUACCUUCAAAUGAAAAGGAAAAGAACUAAAUUGUCUUUAAGAUUAAACAACAUCAAUAGCUAGAUAGUGGCAUCAUCCUCGGAAGGUGAGGACCUACAAAACUUGGAGAAUGAGAGUCGAAGUUAUUUUUCAAAUGGCCCUUCUAGAAUAUCAACGGCCGGAACCUAUAUAAUUAUAGAAAUAUAGAAAUAUGGUUAGUACAACACUUGUAUUAAGUACGGAAACAUACACAUAAUACAUUUGAAAUAAUGCAUGAGAAAGGGACAUUUACGUUUUAGAAACCAUGCUAAGUCAUUUGGAAACCUUUAGUGCACAUAAAAGAGAGCAUGUACCACAUAAGAAAUCUCAAUAGCAUAAGUCAUGUUCAUAAUCAAUACAACUUAACAUAAGAACCAUGUAUAACACAAGACCAACAUCAUUCAUACAUAACUAAGUCAAUAUGUAUACUAGAAUACUUGAGUACAUAGUCAAACCAACUCUAACAUCAUGCUAGAACAACAAAACACAUAUAAGAGUUUACAUCAUUACAACAUAUACAAGACCCUUACUCAUAACUCAUCAUCAAGCUUACAACUGCAAUGACCAAGUAAAGACCAUAACCUUAAUCAACCAAGUAAAACCAACAAAGGACCAUAAGCAAUGUCUAAACUCACAUAACAUAGCAUUAAGAGUAAUCAUCAUCAUGCAUUGGAACAUAGACCAAUAGCAUGCUAAAAAAUAAAACUAGUAUCAUACAGGAUCAUUCAACAUGUAAAGUCAACAUAUGCAUACCAUUUACUUAUAAAACAUAAGAACAACCUUUCAAGACUUCCCUCAAGGCCAACUAGUGCAAUGCAUAGGUAGAGUCUCAUACCCCUACCUAGACUAAGUCAAAACCCUUAAGUCACCCUAUUUAUUGUUCACAUUAUUACUUCAUUUUACUUUCAGGAACACUUGCCUUAACCGAUAUAGACCAGAAGAGCUAAAUACAGAAUCAGGUGUCAUAAAACCUACACCGAGAGAAGGUGGAAUACUUGUCAAGGUAGUACCAAAACAUAAAAAUAGCAUUCUAGGUGGAUCCACUAGCUAGUAUUCCUAUGGGGACAACAUAGUUCAAGAACUAGGAGAUAUACUUGGACACUCUUUAUGCACAAUUCAUUAUAGUCUCCAAUCUCAUGAGUAAAAUAGUGAACCUACCUUGCCUAAUUGGGAAGGGACACUCCUCACCUAGUUCACCCGAUGCUUAGCUAAUGUCCCUUUUUGAAAUGUCUUUAAACCUAUAUUAAUCUUCAUAACUUAGUUUAGGCGAUAGGAGACUAAUCCCUUGUAUAUUAAGAGUCAUUAGCUUAGGAAUUGCUUGAGAAUAUCAUUUCAAUACAACCCUCAUAUGUGAGAUCAACACAUUAUCAUCAUCAUCAUGUAUAAUAAGGCACAUAGGCAAUUCAUAACCAACCUUAUAUCAUUACAUCUUAAACGUAAUCUCACACUUUCACAUAAUCAAUACAUUUCAAUCGCAUCAUCAUAUCAACACCCACUUAGUAGAAUCAGAAUACAUGCUUUAAUUGAACUUCAUCACCAAGUAUAAGCCAUCACAAUUGAAGCAAAGGUUUAAGAUCACAAGGUCUUUCCAAUUCUCCUUAAAAAGCCAUCAUUAUUGGUCUUACUCUCAAUCAAAACAAUUUCAUCAUCAAUAUCUGUAACAACAUCAUUCAAUAGUAAUAACACAAUAACUAGUUCACUUGCAUCAAUACUACUGAAUUUAACAUGACUAGAUAACCUAGGGUUAAGGAAUUUGGGUCAAUUCAUGAUCUAUUCCACAUACUAGAUUAAAUCAUCAAGAACUACUAUAAUUGAACAAUAAUAGAUCAUAAUCUAAUUACAAUAACCAAAAGAAACCACAAAUAAUACAAUUUAGAAGAUCAAAUUCGGAUUAGAAAUAAACCCAUAUGAAAUCAUUUUUUUGAAAACCAAUUUUUGAAGAACCCUUUGGAGAAAGAAAUCCCAAAGGUGAAAUUUCCCAUACCUUGAUAUUAUUUGAAUAUUGAUGGUGAAAAGUGAUCUUAUUGCUUCACUAGAACUUUAAGACCUUGGUCUUCUAUGGAGUCUUCUUUGAGAGAGAAACGAGAGAAUAGGAAGAGCAAUUUGGGUUUGGGAAUUGUGGGGUGCUUAGUUGAGUUUAGGCUUAAGGUAGGUUAUGUAGUUGCUAAAUUAAUCUAAUUAACCAAACCUUCACCCUAAUUAAACCCCUAACUAGCUAAAUUAAUUAAAUGAACAUUUAAAAAACUUAACAAAAAGUGCAGGCCUGACCUACGAGACCCCGACCAACGGGUCGUAGGUUAGUCGACGGCCUCACCCCUCAACCAUCCUGCACAACUGUCAUUUUUACUCAGAGAGUUGUAUUUUUGGAUAAUUCCUGAAAUUGUCUAAGUGCUAUUCCACAGAGGAAUCGAUGCCUCGUCGCGUGCGACCCGUAGGUAGACACUGUUUCAAGGCAAUUUCUUGACCAAUCUAGAAGGGUCCUCCGCAAGGACCCUUUGGGUUGUCGUUAGGGAUUUAUAGCAAGAUGUUUUGACCCUAAACAAAUUUUAAUACGUGAUUAACAUCUUUUCCAUCAAAUUUCAUUAAAUUUUGACUCCUAAAACCUUAUGAAAUAGGCUAAGGCACAUUAGCACCUCUUCCACUAAUCUCCGAAUGUCAUGAAUGUUUCUUGACGUCUUGACUCUAAAACUUCCUAAAUGACUUAUAAACAUUAUUUUUGACCUUAAAACAGUGCUAAAAACUUUAUACACUCAUGUGAGGCUCUAGAUUUAGGUCUUGGACUUUUGAAGUGUCACACCUGACUUUGAGUGUUGCUAGAUAUGCUUUUAUGUUUUAAGCUUGACUAGGUGUGGAUGACCAAAGUCUUGAAUAAGGUUAAGUGAGGUUACUUAAGUAAGUAUUUAUCUCUCAUUAUUAUGCUUAUUAUGUCUUCAUUAUGCUUACGCCUUAUGUCAUUUAAGGAAUAAUGAUUAUGUUUAUGUUGUUUAUGCUAGCCGUCAUAUUUAGUACAUGAUUGCACCAACGCAUACUCUUAUUAUAUUCUUAUCAAAUGUAGGGUUCGACAACAAGAUUCUCACACUCGUGUCUAGCUUCCUUGUUGAGCAAUAAAGUGAAGAUUUGGUUAGUCUUCAUUGUGUUUGAGGAUGUGAUCACCCUUUUAUUUUAUGCCUUUCUUUUAUGUCUUGGACUAUUGUAUGGGCUACGUCCCAAGACUUUAUCCAUGACUAUGCUAUUAGAGUUGUGAUUUAUUGUAAAGGACUUUGAUUAUGUUGAAAUAUUUUUAAUACUUGCA
RNAcentral lists this long non-coding RNA (4790 nucleotides) under Solanum lycopersicum (tomato). Its description in RNAcentral is "long non-coding RNA (SLYC_LNC000624)". Lineage: Eukaryota; Viridiplantae; Streptophyta; Magnoliopsida; Solanales; Solanaceae. The record is from RNAcentral.